CAGUAGCCACGGUAAUACGUAGGUGGCAAGCGUUAUCCGGAAUUAUUGGGCGUAAAGCGCGCGUAGGCGGUUUUUUAAGUCUGAUGUGAAAGCCCACGGCUCAACCGUGGAGGGUCAUUGGAAACUGGGAAACUUGAGUGCAGAAGAGGAGAGUGGAAUUCCACGUGUAGCGGUGAAAUGCGUAGAGAUGUGGAGGAACACCAGUGGCGAAGGCGACUCUCUGGUCUGUAACUGACGCUGAGGAGCGAAAGCGUGGGGAGCGAACAGGAUUAGAUACCCCGGUGUCCAUGUCUCUUAUACA
Molecule: ribosomal RNA, 301 nt
Filed under: uncultured bacterium
Lineage: Bacteria
Description: partial 16S ribosomal RNA
Rfam family: Bacterial small subunit ribosomal RNA
Source: RNAcentral